This 254-nucleotide ribosomal RNA is filed under the name uncultured bacterium. Its description in RNAcentral is "partial 16S ribosomal RNA". It matches the Rfam family "Bacterial small subunit ribosomal RNA", at positions 524 to 776 of the family's 1533-position model. The record is from RNAcentral.
UACGUAGGGUGCGAGCGUUGUCCGGAAUUACUGGGCGUAAAGAGCUCGUAGGCGGUUUGUCGCGUCGUCCGUGAAAACUUGGGGCUUAACCCUGAGCUUGCGGUCGAUACGGGCAUGACUGGAGUUCGGUAGGGGAGACUGGAAUUCCUGGUGUAGCGGUGAAAUGCGCAGAUAUCAGGAGGAACACCGGUGGCGAAGGCGGGUCUCUGGGCCGAUACUGACGCUGAGGAGCGAAAGCGUGGGGAGCGAACAGG